UGAACCUGCGUUGGCCCCCUAACUUAGCACUGACCAGUAGAGGAUGGCAGAAGGAACACUUUGCUAGUCCUGGAGGAGUCCACAAUUAGCCUGGGGGUUUCCACUUCUACCUUUUGGAAGCUGGUAGUCAGGAAAGCAGUGUGACUGUCCCAAGACCAUCACGCGUAGAGUUUCUGGAGGACGAAUGUGUCAGAGAGAGGGGCACCAAGGAGAGCUAAGUCUUCAGAUGUGUUAUGAGAAGAAGCUUACGUCAGAUGAAAAAGAGGUAUCAAUCCAUCUGAACACUUCCUGAAUUCCUGACCCACAGAAUCAUAAGCAAGAUAAUAUACCAGUUUCUUUUAAGCCACUCUGUUUUGAUGGAGGGACAUAAUCAGAACAGAAACUGGUAAGUGAAAACAGGAUGCUACCUCGGGAAAAAGCUAAAACACACUCACUGGCUUUAGGAUGAGUAGCAGGUGGCAGCAGGAAAGGUGUCGAGGAGAUUGCCAGCAAAGACCUGGAGGGCAGUGAGGAAACCAUACAGGAAACGGAGAAAGGGCAACUCAGACUGUACAGCGGCAGAACCUGAGAACUGCUGCCUGUUGAAAUAGGGAACGUAAGAAACAUACCCCAUAAAAGGGCCAACAGGUUUCUCUGAGACGCAUACAACAAGGAAUGGGUAAAGAGAGAGAAACUGAAAAGGAGAAGUGUUCAGGCUUUGAGCAGAAUUCAGAAAAAAAUAGAAAGGACUCAGGAUAGUCUUUCUGGUCAGCAAAACAUCCCUACAGCAAUUAGGGUAAAGAUGAAGUCAAGGGUACUCUGUGAUGACACUUCAGAAAGAUUUAAGGCCACAUCUUCAUAGGUCCUCAGAUUUUAAAAAAAGAGCUUCUAAGAAUCUUAAGGAUAUAGACCUCUUUGACUCUCUGCUAGACAGGAACACUGUCAAGAACCUUAAAGAUGCUGUCCCACAGCUCUUUCUGACCAAAAUAAACAAGAGACUGUCUAACAAAGAUCUGUGAGUGCAGCUUCUGUCUAAUGCAGGAGAUUGCAAUUAGAUAGAUAGGAAGCCCAUAUCAUUUUUAAGGGAGUUAUAUGAGAUUGAACUCAAAAUGAAAAUAGAUCUCUAGGUCCCCCAUUAUCUACUGUUAGGUAGCAAGCUAAGAAAACUAUUUAACUGCAAAAUCUGGUUAUUGCCUAUGAAAAAGGAAGGAAAGCUCAGGGUAUGAAGUCAAGAGCCCAGUGGGUGAAGUCAAGAGCCACAGAGAACCAUUUGUAGGGAUUAGAUCUGGGCCCUAAUCACGGAGGUGAUAACAGGAGUCUGUCCGGAUUUCACAAUUGCUAUGCACCAGGGAUUGCUAAGUGACCUGCAUUCCUCUUUCAUUUGAAAAGAAAGGUCUACCACAGUUAUACUACCACUGUUCACCACUGUAUACUGGGUACACCAGGGGCCUUGAACUUGACUCUAGUUUACUGGUCCUCCCAUGGAGAGCUGCACUUUAAGAACCACACCCAAGAAGCCUCACCCACACUAGACCUGACUUAGAUGACAGGAUAGAGAUCUUGAGCUUGAUGCCAUGAGAUAAGAUGCUGGGGAUCUGGGGAGGGCAGUGUAUUUUUUCUGUGGGAUGAAUGAGUGUGAAUUGUGAGGCCAGAGAACAGACUGUCUUCUGAGACCACUGCCCCCAGGUGCAACCCUCCCUGUUGCACGUGUAGCUUGUACAUCAAGAGCUGGAAUAUAAUUCUUCUCACCAUGAAUCUUAAUAAUUUGGGUGAGACUUAAUAAUUUGGUUUAUCAACAGAAUACAAUGGAAAUGACUUCCUGAAACUUUAAGACUGGGUCAUAGGAAGUCUUGCUGCUUCCUCCUGGGUUUCUUGGAACAUGUGUCCUUAGCAAACUCUCUCUGAGCCCAGCCACCACAUGUGAGCAGCCCGAGCCCACAGAUCGGAAGAGCCCAC
This is a non-coding RNA of Vicugna pacos (alpaca), 1935 nucleotides long. The record is from RefSeq and is a predicted model, not a curated record. NCBI's taxonomy places the organism in Eukaryota, Metazoa, Chordata, Mammalia, Artiodactyla, Camelidae.